This 2172-nucleotide long non-coding RNA is filed under the name Olea europaea subsp. europaea. The record is from RNAcentral. Lineage: Eukaryota; Viridiplantae; Streptophyta; Magnoliopsida; Lamiales; Oleaceae.
CUUAUACCCAACCCAAUAUAACUCCCAAUUAAAAAGUCUCCACUUAGUCUCAAAUCUCUCCUACCCUAACCCUCAAAGCUUCUAUUUGUGCGUUCCAGCCGCGUCUGCUUCUGCUCUACAUCUUCUACGGUAUUUCUGGUAUCCGGCUAAAAUUGAAGUAUGACACCGUGUUCGAGCUCGUGGUUUUAAAAAAAGAGUGAAACACUCACUACUGGAGAUGUUUUUAAGAUUUGUAUCCUUAAAAUGGAGGAAAGGGAAAGAGUCAAGAGACACGCUUUUUCUUUGGACUCUGAGACUUUAGUUGGUAAUCAUCUUCAUUAUUCACCAAAAGAAUUAUCUCUAUUCCCUAUACAACGAUUCAUAUUUCCCAUUAAUCUCUCGUCGAAAAUCUGAAGUACUCGUUCAUUUUUUUCGUCAAUCUUUUUUCAAGACUCGAAUUCAAUUCACCAGGUUUUAAAAGUGGCCAAGCAAGCAAUUGACCUGAACGUGUGGAUUGAGGAAGCACGGGUCAAAUUUUCGCCGGAGAAGUUAAAGACAGAGACAUAUUCCUAUUGUCUGUUAAGGUAGUUUUGGCUUCAUCUCUUUCCUGUAUGGCAGUUUUUAGAAGUCGAAUAAUUGAUUUAAUUGCUUCACGAUUCACAUAUUCCUUAUUGGAUCCUGUAAAUUAUUUUAAAGUACUGGGUCCUGUAAAUGGUCAGAUUUGUUUAUUCUGUUUAUUUAUCUGAUUUCUUCUUAUUAAUUAAUUGCUUUAGAUGGAGAUUGCUAUUCCAUAGGCACUAUGCAAAAAAGUACAGAAUCAUGUAGUGAUCAAUGAUCAUAUAUAAUAUUCUUUGCGCCUAAAUACUGAUUUAUCAUUUAUAGGACGCAAUAAUUUUAUUAUAACGUACAUUUUAAAUCUCAGAGUUGGUGAGUGUUUAUACUCAUUAGGUUUGGUUUAUUCUAUAGGACUUGAUCAAUUGUUUUCUUUUCGAUAUCAAUUGAAUCUCAAUUCUCUAGUAAUUAAUAUCUAUAUGAAGCGAUAAUUUUACCCAAAUCCUUUAUCUUUUAUCAAAAACUGCAAUCAUAUAGUUAGUAUCUUUCACUAAAAUGAAUUCCAAUGGAUAGUUAUCCUUGGGAAGCUUAAUUUUCUUAAUUUAUUUAUAGUAAAAUAAAGUUACAUUGAAAUGUAUGCAUAAAAAUAUUUAUCUUGUUGUUAUAAGGCUAUUUGUUCAUACGAAUGUAACCAUUUGUAAAUAUCUUCCAGAGGAGGAAGUUGGUUUUGCAAAAUUAGUUAAUCAAUUGAUUAAAAAGUCAAUUGUUUUUCCUUUCUGAUAUGGUCUAUUGACUAUGGCAGGCCUUGAAGGAACCAUACGAGAUUGUUCCAACUCGCAAAUGGAAAGGAAAAAACAAAAUCAACAAAAUAGUUUUUAUAGGUAUGCAUUCGUAAUGGCUUAUGCGAUUUCCAAUUUUUAAAUGAAUGCCAAACUUUAGAUAGGUGUUUCUUGUGUACAGGUGGAUUGUUAAAUGAAGAGCUAUCAACCUGGUCAUACUAUAAAGAAGGAAAGAGUAAACUAUUAUAUUGGUUGUAAUCUUAUUUUUUUCCCCUCUUUCUUGAGUUUAAGCAAUCAUGGAUAAAAAAAGGAAAGAUUAAACUAUUAUAUUGGUUGUUCUUAUUUACUUUUAUCCAAAAUCGACAACAUUUUGCUUAUAAAAUUGUGCAAUUAGUUUAUCUCAAUUUACAUUCAAUCAAGUCUUUGUUUUAUUUUUUUCGAUUUUCUUGGUUGUGAAAGUGCUUGUUAUCAUAUGCUGAUCUCUUACUGCUUUCCUGUGGAUUUUGUUUAUGUAUAGCAUAACAUCAUGACAAGGAAGAUGCUUUUUGAUGGGAAGCUAGGCACUGCUGGUGGGUAGGAGACUUAAAAGGACUUUGAUUUGUUUGUGAUUGAAGAUGGCAUUGGUGAAGUUCGUUCCUCACAAUUUCCUAGUCUAGAACUCAUUUUUCACUUAGUCUAUACACCGUUUGUACUAAAAGUCUAGGAUACAUUUGUAACUAAGAUAUUAAGGUGCAUGACACAUUUUGUGGUUAAAUAUAGGAUAUUUAAAUUUAUGUAAUGACUAUUAAUAAUUAUUUUAUGUGCAAUGACAAUUACCUUUUGUACUCGGUAUUGUAUAUUGUGAAUUUCUUUAUUUUUGUUA